Molecule: long non-coding RNA, 1899 nt
Organism: Vitis vinifera (wine grape)
Lineage: Eukaryota; Viridiplantae; Streptophyta; Magnoliopsida; Vitales; Vitaceae
Exons: 3
Source: RefSeq, a predicted model, not a curated record
UAUUUAUCAAGCAUGGAUGCAAUUGGGAUUCCUUCUAGUAUGAAAGAUGAAUGGAAAUGUGGGAAACCAUUACUUGGUGGCCGGUCGUGCAAUAAAUAUUCAUGAUUAUAAAUUGGUGGAGCAAGCACAUCAUUAUGUUCUACAAAAUACAACCAUUGUACAACCUUUUAUUGAGUAAGUGUCAUAUAUGUGAAUAUAUGAGUUUGAAACUGUAGCUAAUGUUUAUACAAACCAUGACAUGCCUAUUUUUCCUUGAUAGUGAACAUAUGAAAUAUUUGAAGACAAAAUAUCCUCAUCAAUCAAAGAGAGUAAAGUGGCUAGAGGAUGAACAUGUGCGCACAUUUAGUUAUUGGCUUAGAAAAAAUGUAUGAAACUCAAUAUUCAUACUCCUCUUAAAAUUUAAUGCUUUCAAAAUUUUAAAUUACAUUAACUUACAUAUCAUUAAUGAACCUUAUAGGUUUCAGAUGACAUAAGUAAGAAAGAACUUAUUGAAAAUGAACUUAAGUGGCUUGCGCAAGGACCAAGACAAUAAGUUCUUACUUACCCUGAAUAUAUCAUUAAUGGUUGUCGUUACCAUAUCAAGGAGCGUGAUGAGGCACGAGUCAACCAAAAUAGUAGUGUCAGUAUUGUGGCAUCGACCAUGUAAAUUGCAAGUUCCAAAGAUAAGAAUCAUGUGCUUGGUGACAUGUAUUUUUAUGGGAUUGUCAUAUAGAUAUGGGACCUUGAUUAUAACAUGUUUAACAUUUGUGUUUUUAAGUGUGAUUGGGUUGAUAGUAAGAAUGGUGUCAAAGUUGAUGAGUUUGGUUUUACAUUAGUUGAUUUGAGCAAGAUAGGACAUAAAUCAGAUCCUUUCAUUUUGGCAACACAAGCCCAACAAGUAUUUUAUGUAGAAGAUCAAGUUGAUCCAAGAUGGUCUAUUGUAUUAUCAAGGCCAAAAAUGGAGUUGUUUGACAUAGAAGGUGAUGGCAACAUAGCCGAUAAUGACAUGGAGCAUCACCCAUUUGUGAAUGGGAUGCCUAAUAUUAAGUCUUUUGAUGAAGUUGAAAAUUAUGAUGAAAUUUGUAUGCGUACUGAUUGUGAGGGGAUUUGGAUUGAACAUUAAGCUUAAUUUUUUUUUUUUGUUUUUUUUUUUUUUUUUUGGGUUAUGCUUUGUGACUACUAAGUGUAUUAUGUGAUUUUUGAGUUAUUGUUAAUAUACAAUGUGAUGCUCAACAAUGUUAUGUUUUUAUUUUAUUCUUUUCAAAUAUAUUUUUUACUAUUAUAUUCUUGCUAAGUUAUUCUAAAUAAAUGUAGUUAGUAUCAUAUUUAUAUAUAUUGAGAUUUAAGAUUAAUUUUCAUGUAUUGCAAAGUUUGUACAACAAUGAUUUAUUACUACUUAUGAAAUUAUUUUGUAACUAAUUUCUUUAGAUUUAGUUGAGAUACAUUUUCAAGUGUUGUUUAUUAGUGCAUAAUUCUUAAUUAUUUGGGAACUUGGGCAAAAAGUGCAACAUCUUUAUGGAUGUCUCAACCAAGAAGAGAUAAAGAGCAGAUGGAUGGAAAGGAAGGAAAACAGAAGAUUACUUCACCAAAAAGGUUCAGAGGCCCAACUAUAAAACCUAAAAUUGCUAAAAAGAGAAGUGAAGGAGUGAAAAUUGACAUUCAAUAUAAUGAUGAUGGUGAGGGAGUGGGUGAGGGAUAUGUACAACUUGUAUCAUACUUGGGGGUGCUAGCACGAACCAUGGUGCCAAUAUAUCAUACUGAUUGGAGAGUAGUGCUUGUAGAAUUAAAGGAGAAAUUAUGGGAUUGCAUUAAGAUGCAAAAGACAGGUUCAAGGAAACCUAUUGAUAGAUGGGUCUUGUGGAAGUUAGAAAGAUUGAAAAAAUGUGAAUAUGAUGAUGUUACGAGGCCUAUAGCGGAAAA